CUUAUUUGGCUCCUGUCUGCAGGGUUUACGCGCACGUUGGAAUCGAAGAGAGCUCUGUUGUUGCAAUGUUCAGCCCACAAGAGCUUACAGGUGAAGGAAUGGGACAAGACCCAUCUUUAUGCAAAGCCAGCGUUACAGUAAUGUUCCAGGUAGGUGUACAUGGUUUAUGCACUUAUAGAGGAGACCUUGCUAGAUAACCACUCCAUGAUGAACACAAAAUGACAAGCAUAUGGCUGAACUUAUCAAGUGAUGUCAUCUUACUACUGAGAAGUGAGAGAGAGGUCUUAAGGGGUCUUUGAAUGACUAUUUUUAGGUACAUAAAAUGACUUCCUCUGUUUUCUACAGCAUCUCAUAAUCUAUCCUGAGGAAUUCAGCUGCCUCCCAGGGUGAAUACAGGUAUUUCUGAUGACAGUCUGCCUCUAUCUUACAGUAAGUUGUUUUUCGAAUUCUAUGGGCCUAUUAUCUAAUAGAUAAGAUAGCCAUCUUGAAAUUUGUUACAUUUGUUACCAAAGCCUGCUUAACCCAUAAAGUUUUCUGGUUCCUCUUGUUCUCUGUAGUGAUGUUUCUAGAC
This 571-nucleotide small RNA is filed under the name Pongo abelii (Sumatran orangutan). RNAcentral describes it as "retained intron". The stretch from base 200 to 272 matches the Rfam family "Small nucleolar RNA SNORD27". The record is from RNAcentral. Lineage: Eukaryota; Metazoa; Chordata; Mammalia; Primates; Hominidae.